ACUACGAGCCAAGCUUAAAACCCAAAGGACUUGACGGUACCCCACAUCCCCCUAGAGGAGCCUGUCCUAUAAUCGAUAAUCCACGUUUAACCUCACCACUUCUAGUUAGUCAGCCUGUAUACCUCCGUCGUCAGCUUACCACGUGAGCGUUAAUUAGUGAGCCCAAUGUAUUUCGCCAAGACGUCAGGUCAAGGUGCAGUAAAUGAAAUGGAAAGAGAUGGGCUACACUUUCUACUUUAGAAAAAACGAAAAACUACCUAUGAAAUCUAGUUAGAAGGCGGAUUUAGUAGUAAAAAGGAAUCAGCAUGUCCAUUUUAACCCGGCA
Molecule: ribosomal RNA, 325 nt
Filed under: Nectophrynoides cf. tornieri HCL-2014
Lineage: Eukaryota; Metazoa; Chordata; Amphibia; Anura; Bufonidae
Description: partial 12S ribosomal RNA
Rfam family: Bacterial small subunit ribosomal RNA
Source: RNAcentral